This 459-nucleotide ribosomal RNA is filed under the name uncultured bacterium. RNAcentral describes it as "partial 16S ribosomal RNA". It matches the Rfam family "Bacterial small subunit ribosomal RNA", at positions 338 to 794 of the family's 1533-position model. The record is from RNAcentral.
CCUACGGGGGGCAGCAGUGAGGAAUAUUGGUCAAUGGGCGGAAGCCUGAACCAGCCAAGUAGCGUGCAGGAUGACGGCCCUACGGGUUGUAAACUGCUUUUAUACGGGAAUAACGGGGUCCUUGCGAGGGCCCGAUGAGAGUACCCGGAGAAAAAGCAUCGGCUAACUCCGUGCCAGCAGCCGCGGUAAUACGGAGGAUGCGAGCGUUAUCCGGAUUUAUUGGGUUUAAAGGGUGCGUAGGCGGGCUGUUAAGUCAGCGGUCAAAUGUCGGGGCUCAACCCCGGCCUGCCGUUGAAACUGGCGGCCUCGAGUGGGCGAGAAGUAUGCGGAAUGCGUGGUGUAGCGGUGAAAUGCUUAGAUAUGACGAAGAACCCCGAUUGCGAAGGCAGCUUGCUGCAGCGGAACUGACGCUGAUGCUCGAAAGCGCGGGUAUCGAACAGGAUUAGAUACCCCAGUAGU